Molecule: long non-coding RNA, 745 nt
Filed under: Junco hyemalis (dark-eyed junco)
Lineage: Eukaryota; Metazoa; Chordata; Aves; Passeriformes; Passerellidae
Description: lncRNA (ENSJHYG00000018333.1)
Source: RNAcentral
AUCCCUCUCGGCAGGGCCGGGGAUGACGGAUGGGCGGUGAAUGAGCCAUCGCUGCCUCCCGGAGCUGCACACACACACACACACACACACACACACACACACACACACACACACACACACACCGAGGGAAUCGUCGCAGACCCGCAGAGCUCCGGGCCGUGCAGGGCUCCAGUCCCGUGUGAAAUGCCGUGUUCGUGCCCCCAGAGCGGCAGCACCGGGCUGGCCGGGCUGGUGUCACCCGCCGCAGGGACAGGCAGCUCCAGCUGGGGUGCCCGGCUCGGGCAGCAGUCCAGGUGUUCCCCAUCACUGUCUUUGGAACCUGAGAUGCCCCUGGUGUCACAGAGCACCUCCCACCUCCCCCUGCACUCUGCAGCAAGUGAGGGCUGUCCUGCUGCCCACCCUGGGGGGAUUUGGGACCUCAGGGCUUGGCUGCGUGGUCUCCUCCUUCCAGCUCCUUCCCAGUGGAACAAACACGGGAUCCUGAGGGGCCCCAGGACACGGAAUGCUGAGGGUGCAGCACUGCAGCUGUUACUGCUGAGCCAGAUGUUCCACAGAGCAUUCCUCUGCACCCUGUGGAAAGGCUCAGAGAUGGGCAUUGGACACUGGCUCUGCACAGGACCCAGCCAGCUGAACGAGACACGGGCCAGUGAGUAAAGGUCUCUUUUAUGAACCAAGGCCAUUCAUGCUUUGCCAAGGCCUUCCCUUGAGAUGCCUGAAUAAAUUCCCUGGAUUGACAGGGCCUGCA